This 436-nucleotide ribosomal RNA is filed under the name uncultured bacterium. RNAcentral describes it as "bacterial SSU rRNA". It matches the Rfam family "Bacterial small subunit ribosomal RNA", at positions 367 to 793 of the family's 1533-position model. The record is from RNAcentral.
CACAAUGGGCGCAAGCCUGAUGCAGCCAUGCCGCGUGUAUGAAGAAGGCCUUCGGGUUGUAAAGUACUUUCAGCAGUGAGGAAGGUGGGUAUGUUAAUAGCAUAUUCAUUUGACGUUAGCUGCAGAAGAAGCACCGGCUAACUCCGUGCCAGCAGCCGCGGUAAUACGGAGGGUGCGAGCGUUUAAUCGGAAUUACUGGGCGUAAAGCGCAUGCAGGUGGUUUGUUAAGUCAGAUGUGAAAGCCCGGGGCUCAACCUCGGAAUUGCAUUUGAAAACUGGCAAACUAGAGUACUGUAGAGGGGGUAGAAUUUCAGGUGUAGCGGUGAAAUGCGUAGAGAUCUGAAGGAAUACCGGUGGCGAAGGCGGCCCCCUCGGACAGAUACUGACACUCAGAUGCGAAAGCGUGGGGAGCAAACAGGAUUAGAUACCCUGGUAG